CCUACGGGAGGCAGCAGUGAGGAAUAUUGGUCAAUGGACGAGAGUCUGAACCAGCCAAGUAGCGUGAAGGAUGACGGCCCUAUGGGUGGUAAACUUCUUUUAUAAAGGAAUAAAACGAGGCACGUGUGCCUUUUUGCAUGUACUUUAUGAAUAAGGAUCGGCUAACUCCGUGCCAGCAGCCGCGGUAAUACGGAGGAUCCGAGCGUUAUCCGGAUUUAGUGGGUUGAAAGGGAGCGUAGAUGGGUAGGUAAGUCAGUUGUGAAAGUUUCCGGCUCAACCGUAAGAUUGCAUUUGAUACUGGGUGUCUUGAGUACAGUAGAGGUAGACGGAAGUCGUAGUGUAGCGGUGAAAUGCGUAGAUAUUAGGAGGAACACCAGUGGCGAAGGCGGCUUACUAGACUGUAACUGACGCUGAUGCUCGAAAGCGUGGGGAGCAAACAGGAUUAGAUACCCGGGUAGUC
Molecule: ribosomal RNA, 460 nt
Filed under: uncultured bacterium
Lineage: Bacteria
Description: partial 16S ribosomal RNA
Rfam family: Bacterial small subunit ribosomal RNA
Source: RNAcentral